This 100-nucleotide small nuclear RNA is filed under the name Prolemur simus (greater bamboo lemur). Lineage: Eukaryota; Metazoa; Chordata; Mammalia; Primates; Lemuridae. The record is from RNAcentral.
GUGCUCGCUUCAGCAGCACAUAUACUAUUGUAUACAGAGAAGAUUAGCAUGACACCUGCACAAGAAUGACAUACACAUUUGUGAAGCAUUCCAUAUAAAA